AAACAAAAUUGAAUGGGAUGAAU
Molecule: non-coding RNA, 23 nt
Filed under: Arabidopsis thaliana (thale cress)
Lineage: Eukaryota; Viridiplantae; Streptophyta; Magnoliopsida; Brassicales; Brassicaceae
Source: RNAcentral